This 299-nucleotide signal recognition particle RNA is filed under the name Pelecanus crispus (Dalmatian pelican). RNAcentral describes it as "Metazoan signal recognition particle RNA". It matches the Rfam family "Metazoan signal recognition particle RNA". From Rfam's summary of the family: The signal recognition particle (SRP) is a universally conserved ribonucleoprotein. Lineage: Eukaryota; Metazoa; Chordata; Aves; Pelecaniformes; Pelecanidae. The record is from Rfam by way of RNAcentral.
GCCGGGCACGGUGGCUUGUGCCUGUAAUCCAAGCGCCGGGGAGGCUGAGGCUGGCGGACGGCUUGAGCUUGGGAGUUCUGGGCUGCAGCGAGCUGUGCCGAGCGGGCGUCCGCGCUAAGGCCGGCAUCGAUAUGGUGGUCCUCGGGGAGCCGGGGGCCACCAGGUCGCCUAAGGAGGGGUGAACCGGCCCAGGUCGGAGACGGAGCAGGUCAAAGCUCCUGUGCUGAUCGGUAGCAGGAUCGCGCCUGUGAACAGUCCCUGUAGCACAGCCCGGGCAAGAGAGCGGGACCCAGUUUCCU